CUCAGCCUCUCCGGUUAUUCAUAGCUUCAGAGCAUCGGUGCCGGUUGAGUUACAGACCCAGCAAGGACCGUGGGUAACUGACCAGAUAAGCCCUGAAGUCCCCAUCAGCGCCAUCACUGUCACCCCGAUGAGUUCCUGUUACGAGCGAGCGGCCAGAGCAGCCCCAGGUGGGGGCAGGAAAAGCCCCAGAGGGGGGUGUGUCCCGUCUGCGGAACGGAGUUACUAAGCUCCAAGGCACGGUGCCGUGUGCUGCUAAUGACGGAAGUAUGUACCGGACACACAGAGUGGAUUCUCCGUGUCCGGCGUUUCGCUCUACCGUGGCAAAGCACCUGUGCAGCCAGAAAGCGAGAACAAAGAACCCCGUGAAGAUCUAACACAGGCGGCCGUGCGGCCCCACUUCCUUCUCAGGCCCGCGGCGGGGAAACCACCUGGCUGACUCACUGGAGGUGAGAGGAGCCCGGCGGGAUGUGGGCACAGGUCAUGCCCGCGAAGAGGCCCAGGUGAGGAAACUGAGUCUCAGAGAAGUUUGCUUCCUCCAGCCUGCUCAGUGAACUCCUAUUCAUCCUGCAAAGCCCACCUCUUGAGCUAAAUGAAGAGACCCUUUCUGUGUCCUUCUGAAACGGAGACAAGCCCCUUCGCUGCACCCUUCUUCUCUCUCUGUGCCUUCAUCCUCCUUGGCCUUCAAGCCCAGGGAGGGCAGGGCCAGGCCUGAUUCACACCCAGAAGCCAGCGGGCAUGUGCCACGUUAGAAGUGUGCGGUGAAUUGUUUACCGGGUGCACACAGCAGCCCGAGCAAGUUCCUGCUUCCUGCUUUCUUCCUUUGUCUUCUCAGAAAUGCAACUUUAAAUAAAAUGCAGAAGUUCGAA
This is a long non-coding RNA of Phyllostomus hastatus (greater spear-nosed bat), 866 nucleotides long. RefSeq lists it as uncharacterized. The record is from RefSeq and is a predicted model, not a curated record. Lineage: Eukaryota; Metazoa; Chordata; Mammalia; Chiroptera; Phyllostomidae. The transcript has 4 exons.